RNAcentral lists this unclassified non-coding RNA (396 nucleotides) under Hevea brasiliensis (rubber tree). The record is from RNAcentral. Lineage: Eukaryota; Viridiplantae; Streptophyta; Magnoliopsida; Malpighiales; Euphorbiaceae.
AUCGCGCCAGCCAACCCUUUUCCUGACCUUAGGCUUGGCGACAAACAUCCCAAGCAGCAAGAAUGGCGACAGCUGGCUGUGAAACUGCAUGGGAAAGGAGUAGAAUGCGCGUGAGUUUCAAGUUGUGAUUUCCCUCUUCUCUAGCGAUGUUCCGACCAAGGGAAUGUUGCAACCGCUUCAGCAACUCGUGGGCUUCAUUCCUUGACCAGCCAUGCCCCAAACCGACGCCCAGAGAGAGAGAUCCGAGGAGAGAGAAACUCAUGGAUUUCACCACUUGCCGACGAGAUUCUGGCAAACCUGACCGUCAGAUCGGUGAUCUGAGGGUAUCGAUAAACUUGGUGCAUGAACUUUCGAGAUGGGACCAACCUCACUCUGAUUGGGUACCAUUUGAAAAAG